RNAcentral lists this ribosomal RNA (406 nucleotides) under uncultured bacterium. Its description in RNAcentral is "partial 16S ribosomal RNA". It matches the Rfam family "Bacterial small subunit ribosomal RNA", at positions 30 to 526 of the family's 1533-position model. The record is from RNAcentral.
AUUGAACGCUGGUGGCAUGCCUAAUACAUGCAAGUCGAACGAGUGGCGGACGGGUGAGUAAUGUGUGGGAAACUGCCCGAUGGAGGGGGAUAACUACUGGAAACGGUAGCUAAUACCGCAUACCAUCGGAUGUGCCCAGAUGGGAUUAGCCAGUAGGUGGGGUAAAGGCUCACCUAGGCGACGAUCCCUAGCGGGUCUGAGAGGAUGACCGGCCACACUGGAACGGAGACACGGUCCAGACUCCUACGGGAGGCAGCAGUGGGGAAUAUUGCACAAUGGGCGCAAGCCUGAUGCAGCCAUGCCGCGUGUAUGAAGAAGGCCUUCGGGUUGUAAAGUACUGUCAGCGGGGAGGCGUUACCCGCAGAAGAAGCACCGGCUAACUCCGUGCCAGCAGCCGCGGUAAUUC